Chiloscyllium plagiosum (whitespotted bambooshark) is the source of this 2218-nucleotide non-coding RNA. The record is from RefSeq and is a predicted model, not a curated record. NCBI's taxonomy places the organism in Eukaryota, Metazoa, Chordata, Chondrichthyes, Orectolobiformes, Hemiscylliidae.
GCCAAAGUGGCGUUGGAAAAGGAUGCGCAAUCAAUACUCGGGCAGCUUCCGGACUUCGGGAACUCUAAUCUGUGACAGGGAAAGUUGGAAGUGAAGAUAAGCAAAGUGCUGCAAGGGGUUAACACCCAAUACAGGAUGUGUCACUGUUUCCAAACUGAACUCUUAAAUUUGGCGCUUAAUGAGUUUUGUGGGACGGUAACACCGAAACUUGGAGGUACGCAGUUUGACCGGUGAAAAUAACAGAAAGGCCUUCUGCUCCUGCAUCGUGGCCCAGUGCAAUGACCAAAAAUUGUCUUUUCCGGUCCCAGAUCGAAUUCGAACUGUUUGAAGAUGAGGAUUAUCUGACUAUCACACGACUUCCAAUGGAGUUCUCCCAAGCAACAACUUUAUAAAUCCGAAAGAUUAUCUGCUCCCUGAAUUGAGAUGAAACCAGCUCUCAGAAGUUACUUUGUGGCUUUGUUAACUAUGAGAUUCCAGCAUUAAAGAAGACUUCAAUUGGAAGACCAGCAACAAGAGGAGCCUCCAGAGGCUGUCAUACUGGAUGGAGAGAGACAGCUGAAGAUCAACCAAGAGGAAGAUGAGAGUGACCACCACCUGAAUAUUCAGGUUUCGCUGUCAUUAUCUACUGCUGUCAGAAACACAAUGUAGGCACAGACUGAGGAUACUGUAGGUCAUCAUCACCAAGCUGUCAUCAGUUGGAGUAGAACUUGUACUUGGAGGGAACAGAAUGCCAUCCCAUUCUGUACCUGUCAAGGGCAUAGUCGCCUUGAAUGUUUAUGCCAGUAGCUUAUUCUAGUAGUAACUGGACACUUGUGUGGCAUCACGGUCCAAAAAUGCAUCCAGGAUGUCACUGGUUCCAUUUUCUCCAGAUUACAUCAGUUUAUAUCCUUCUCUUGUGGAGAAUCAAACAGUGGAAUUCUUUACCAUCAGCAGAAAUGGGGGACUGACAGCAUUCCUCUAAGGAUAAGGACAUUGAUGCAGAGGCACAUGCAAGCGUUCUUGGUAGAGCUAUACAUCUUUGAGCUUGCGAGGCCAGACAGAACAUCAUUGAAUUCUGCUUUCAGGAAGAAUAAGCUGGGCUUUGAUUUCCUUUCAUUGUGUUACUUCCUGUAGGUUAUACAGCAAUGAGUCCCUGGUCACUCCACAGUACUGUGGACCUGUUUGCCUGCAGAUUCCUUGAACUUUUCUAUGGAUGAAUAAAUGUUUUGUUAUCCAUAUGAUUGUACUUGUGCCAACUUGAACUGACUUAACUGGAAAUAAUUUGUUGUUUAGAGACCCCCUUUAGUAUUCUGGAGAUAGAAGCAGUCAGUGAGACAGGGCAGUUACAUUGCAUGGCAUGAUACUAUGUCCAGAUGGCUUUUAAGACUUCAGAUCGCAUAUUGAGUGUUGUGCAUGAUUGUGUGAAAACUGCAUAGAUUACAUAUUGAAAUAUAAAUUGGAGAAUUGAAGUUUGCAUUCUUAGUUUUUUUUUGACAAUUCAAAGGAAAAGUGAAACUAUGUGGUGUUCACUCAUUAGUUAGGUAAGAGCAUGUGACUUUUGAAAGAAGCUGAAUUUGAUACCUUGUGAGACUAAGUGGUACCAGGCACCUUUGGAUUCAACAGCUUCUAUAGAAGUAUUAAGGAACAGUUUUGUCACAGUAUUGAAGGACUGGAACAGUUGAACUAAGAUGUCCAAAAGCCUUCAAGCUAGCCAGAUCUCUCUCUUUUUCUCCUACAGUGGAAUAAAACAAAUACAAACAGAUAUUUCAAGAAAAGAAUUUCUACCUCAAGCAAAAGGCCUAGGUCCAAUUAACCAGCUGCAGAAUAGAGAAUCAUCACAGUCAAUAAUGAAGUGAUAUUAUUGCCAAAAAACAAACCAAAAAACUCUGAGUACGUCACCUCAUUCACUUCUCUUUGGUUGUUUGGAUUCUUGAUCCACAGACUUUGUUCCUUUUUGCCUACAUUUUCCACACAUGACAAUCCUGUAAAGCAGUUUGUCUUGCCUUUACUGUCCAUCCAAUUGUAAAUUAAUGUGUGUGUGUUUGAAUUUAAAGGGCUUAGUUUGCAUAUUAGUAAUUAAUAAUCAAUCUUAGACACUUACUGAAGUAUAUUUAUUUACAAUAAAUAUGCUUUUUGUUUUCAUGUUCAUUGAUGAAACCUGUUGUGAGUUUCAUUUAUCUUAUAUAUUGGUCACAAUCAACAUUAGCCAGCUUUGAGAUUAAAUUGGUCAUUUACACAU